Molecule: microRNA precursor, 121 nt
Filed under: Lepisosteus oculatus (spotted gar)
Lineage: Eukaryota; Metazoa; Chordata; Actinopteri; Semionotiformes; Lepisosteidae
Description: miRNA (ENSLOCG00000018933.1)
Rfam family: mir-24 microRNA precursor family (bases 31-100)
About the family: This family represents the microRNA (miRNA) mir-24 family. miRNAs are transcribed as ~70nt precursors (modelled here) and subsequently processed by the Dicer enzyme to give a ~22nt product. In this case the mature sequence comes from the 3' arm of the precursor. The extents of the hairpin precursors are not generally known and are estimated based on hairpin prediction.
Source: RNAcentral
CAGUGGGCCUGUCUGUCUCUCAGUGGGCCUGUCUCCUGGGCCUGCUGUGCUGAAUAUCAGUGCUCUCAGUCUAGCUGGCUCAGUUCAGCAGGAACAGGAGCCCUGUCUGCCGAGGAAGAGA